RNAcentral lists this transfer RNA (71 nucleotides) under Rhodococcus (subgen. Prescottella) equi. RNAcentral describes it as "Rhodococcus hoagii tRNA-Met". It matches the Rfam family "tRNA". From Rfam's summary of the family: Transfer RNA (tRNA) molecules are approximately 80 nucleotides in length. Their secondary structure includes four short double-helical elements and three loops (D, anti-codon, and T loops). Lineage: Bacteria; Bacillati; Actinomycetota; Actinomycetes; Mycobacteriales; Nocardiaceae. The record is from RNAcentral. RNAcentral also lists the same sequence under 4 other names.
GCGGGUGGAGCAGCUCGGUAGCUCGCUGGGCUCAUAACCCAGAGGUCGCAGGUUCAAAUCCUGUCCCCGCU